GACGAACGCUGGCGGCGUGCUUAACACAUGCAAGUCGAACGAAGAGCGAUGGAAGCUUGCUUCUAUCAAUCUUGGUGGCGAACGGGUGAGUAACGCGUAAUCAACCUGCCCUUCAGAGGGGGACAACAGUUGGAAACGACUGCUAAUACCGCAUACGAUCUAAUCUCGGCAUCGAGGAAAGAUGAAAGGUGGCCUCUAUUUAUAAGCUAUCACUGAAGGAGGGGAUUGCGUCUGAUUAGCUAGUUGGAGGGGUAACGGCCCACCAAGGCGAUGAUCAGUAGCCGGUCUGAGAGGAUGAACGGCCACAUUGGGACUGAGACACGGCCCAGACUCCUACGGGAGGCAGCAGUGGGGAAUCUUCCGCAAUGGACGAAAGUCUGACGGAGCGACGCCGCGUGAGUGAUGACGGCCUUCAGGUUGUAAAGCUCUGUUAAUCGGGACGAAAGGCCUUCUUGCGAAUA
Molecule: ribosomal RNA, 461 nt
Filed under: Veillonella dispar
Lineage: Bacteria; Bacillati; Bacillota; Negativicutes; Veillonellales; Veillonellaceae
Description: bacterial SSU rRNA
Rfam family: Bacterial small subunit ribosomal RNA
Source: RNAcentral